AAAAGAUGCCUGGCCUUCUCCCUCUAUAUAAUUCCUCUAGCUUUUGUCUCUAUCAUCAUCAACACAUUAGUUUAGCUUCAGAAAGGAGCUCCUCCAACAAUGACGUUUUCACUCCUACCCAUCAUUGCUUUUUACAUAGUUGUGCUGGAUGCUGCACAUGAAACCUUAUUACUUCUGAACUUUAUUGGAAGUCCAUGCUUCCCACUACUCCCAUGCCUAAAUCCAUCAGAGAUCUCCUCCAUCCAACUGUAUGCUUCUUUUCAGCCAUGAAUGAAAACCUGACCUGACCCACCAAUUAAACUGGCAAAU
Long non-coding RNA from Prosopis cineraria, 309 nucleotides. RefSeq lists it as uncharacterized. The record is from RefSeq and is a predicted model, not a curated record. Lineage: Eukaryota; Viridiplantae; Streptophyta; Magnoliopsida; Fabales; Fabaceae. The transcript has 3 exons.